RNAcentral lists this ribosomal RNA (253 nucleotides) under uncultured bacterium. Its description in RNAcentral is "partial 16S ribosomal RNA". It matches the Rfam family "Bacterial small subunit ribosomal RNA", at positions 524 to 776 of the family's 1533-position model. The record is from RNAcentral.
GACAGAGGUGCCGAGCGUUAGGCGGAAUCACUGGGCUUAAAGCGUGUGUAGGCGGGUGCCUAAGUACCUUGUGAAAUCCCACGGCUCAACCGUGGAACUGCUUGGUAUACUGGGUAUCUUGAGCCACUUAGGGGCAACCGGAACAAACGGUGGAGCGGUGAAAUGCGUAGAUAUCGGGAGGAACACCAGUGGCGAAGGCGAUCACCUGGGGUUGUUCUGACGCUGAGGAGCGAAAGCUAGGGGAGCAAACGGG